This 448-nucleotide ribosomal RNA is filed under the name uncultured bacterium. RNAcentral's name for it is "bacterial SSU rRNA". It matches the Rfam family "Bacterial small subunit ribosomal RNA", at positions 355 to 796 of the family's 1533-position model. The record is from RNAcentral.
UGGGGAAUCUUGCGCAAUGGGCGAAAGCCUGACGCAGCGACGCCGCGUGAGUGAUGAAGGCCUUCGGGUUGUAAAGCUCUGUGGAGAGGGACGAAUAAGUGUUGGCUAACAUCCAGCAUGAUGACGGUACCUCUUUAGCAAGCACCGGCUAACUCUGUGCCAGCAGCCGCGGUAAGACAGAGGGUGCAAACGUUGUUCGGAAUUACUGGGCGUAAAGCGCGUGUAGGCUGCUCCGAAAGUCGGAUGUGAAAGCCCCGGGCUCAACCUGGGAAGUGCACUCGAAACUUCGGAGCUGGAGUCCUGGAGAGGAAGGCGGAAUUCUCGGUGUAGAGGUGAAAUUCGUAGAUAUCGAGAGGAACACCGGUGGCGAAGGCGGCCUUCUGGACAGUGACUGACGCUGAGACGCGAAAGCGUGGGGAGCAAACAGGAUUAGAUACCCCUGUAGUCC